AGCAGCCGCGGUAAUUCCAGCUCCAAUAGCGUAUAUUAAAGUUGUUGCAGUUAAAAAGCUCGUAGUUGAAUUUUGGGUCUGGCCGGGCGGUCCGCCCUCUGGGUGAGCACUGUUCCGACGCCGGGCCUAUCCUUCUGGUGAGUCGGCAUGUCCUUUAUUGGGUGUGUCGGGGAACCAGGACCAUUACCUUGAAAAAAUUAGAGUGUUCAAAGCAGGCGUAUGCUCGAAUACAUUAGCAUGGAAUAAUGAAAUAGGACGCGUGGUGCUAUUUUGUUGGUUUCUAGAACCGCCGUAAUGAUUAAUAGGGAUAGUUGGGGGCAUUAGUAUUCAAUUGUCAGAGGUGAAAUUCUUGGAUUUAUUGAAGACUAACUUCUGCGAAAGCAUUUGCCAAGGAUGUUUUCAUUAAUCAAGAACGAAAGUUAGGGGGAUCGAAGACGAUCAGAUACCGCGUAGUCUUAACCAUAAACUAUGCCGACUAGGAAUCGGGCAUGUUAUUCUCAUGACUCGCCCGGUCGCCUU
RNAcentral lists this unclassified non-coding RNA (519 nucleotides) under uncultured Ambispora. Its description in RNAcentral is "SSU rRNA". It matches the Rfam family "Eukaryotic small subunit ribosomal RNA", at positions 569 to 1089 of the family's 1831-position model. Lineage: Eukaryota; Fungi; Glomeromycota; Glomeromycetes; Archaeosporales; Ambisporaceae. The record is from RNAcentral.